RNAcentral lists this unclassified non-coding RNA (495 nucleotides) under Anelosimus baeza. RNAcentral describes it as "partial contains 16S ribosomal RNA and tRNA-Leu (trnL)". The stretch from base 99 to 398 matches the Rfam family "Bacterial large subunit ribosomal RNA", at positions 2074 to 2646 of the family's 2925-position model. The record is from RNAcentral. Lineage: Eukaryota; Metazoa; Arthropoda; Arachnida; Araneae; Theridiidae.
UUUUAAUUAAAAACUAGAAUGAAAGGUUAUACAUUCAAAUUUCUUUAUUAAUUUUUAAUAAAUAAUUUAUAUUAAAUAUAAAAAUGUAUUUAUAAAAAAAAAAGACGACAAGACCCUAUUAAAUUUUACUUAUAGUUUAGCUGGGGAAGCUUUUCAAUUAAAAUUUUUUAAAUUAAAUAAAUAAAAAUCUAAUAAAAUUAAAAUUUUAAUAAAUUACUAUAGGGAUAACAGCAUUAUAUUUUUUAAAAGUUCAUAUUAAAAAAAAUGAUUGUGACCUCGAUGUUGAAUUAUAUUUUCUAUAUUAAAUGCAAUAAUUAUAAAAGUAGAUCUGUUCGAUCUUUAAAAUAUUACAUGAUUUGAGUUCAAACCGGUGUAAACCAGGUUGGUUUCUAUCUUUUUAUAUAUUUUUCCAGUACGAAAGGACAAAAAAAUUUUUAUUUUAAUAAAUUAGCAAAUAAAUGCAUUAGAUUUAGAAUCUAAAUAUAUUUAAUAAUU